UAAGGUUUUAAGUUAAAUAAACUAAUAGCCUUCAAAGCUUUAAUUAUUAGAAGUAUCUUUUAAACCUU
RNAcentral lists this transfer RNA (68 nucleotides) under Geron pallipilosus. RNAcentral's name for it is "tRNA-Trp". The record is from RNAcentral. Lineage: Eukaryota; Metazoa; Arthropoda; Insecta; Diptera; Bombyliidae.